Molecule: non-coding RNA, 88 nt
Filed under: Deltaproteobacteria bacterium
Lineage: Bacteria; Pseudomonadati; Myxococcota; Myxococcia
Description: c-di-GMP sequence
Rfam family: c-di-GMP-I riboswitch aptamer
About the family: GEMM was predicted in a large-scale screen for bacterial structured RNA regulatory elements. Genes associated with GEMM are involved in a diverse array of functions, including chemotaxis regulation, signal transduction, secretion and chitin.
Source: RNAcentral
ACCCGAAAAAGGCAAACCAUCCUAAAGGGUGGGGCGCAAAGCUUCUGGCCUAAGUCCCAAUGAGGGAUACGGCAGCAGGGCUACCGGG